AGAUAAUGGUUAACAGAGACAAACGGGGGCAUUUGUAUUGCGGCGUGAGAGGUGAAAUUCUUGGACCGCCGCAAGACAAACUACAGCGAAAGCACUUGCCAAGAAUGUCUUCAUUAAUCAAGAACGAAAGUCAGAGGAUCGAAGGCGAUCAGAUACCGCCCUAGUUCUGACCGUAAACGAUGCCAACUCGCGAUCCGCCGGCGGAGCAUUUCGCCCUGGUGGGGAGCGUCCCGGAAACGAAAGUCUUCCGGUUCCGGGGGAAGUAUGGUUGCAAAGCUGAAACUUAAAGGAAUUGACGGAAGGGCACCACCAGGAGUGGAGCCUGCGGCUUAAUUUGACUCAACGCGAGGAACCUCACCCGGCCCGGACACCGUAAGGAUUGACCGAUCGACAGCUCAUUCAUGAUUCGGUGGUUGGUGGUGCAUGGCCGUUCUUAGUUCGUGGAUUUGAUCUGUCUGCUUUAUUGCGAUAACCGAGCGAGACCCACGCCUGCUAACUAGUCCGUGCAUUGCCAUUGUGCACGCCGACUUCUUAGAGGGAUUCGCGGUGUUCAGCCGUUUGAAAGUGGGCAAUAACAGGUCUGUGAUGCCCUUAGAUGUCCGGGGCUGCACGCGGGCUACACUGGCAAAACCAGCGUGCCUGUCCUGCCUCGAAGGAGGUGGGUAAACCCGGCAAAAUUUGCCGUGAUUGGGAUCGGAGAUUGCAAUUAUUUUCCGUGAACGAGGAAUUCCAAGUAAGUGCGAGUCAUCAGCUCGCGUUGAUUACGUCCCUGCCCUUU
RNAcentral lists this ribosomal RNA (778 nucleotides) under Radopholus similis. RNAcentral's name for it is "SSU rRNA". It matches the Rfam family "Eukaryotic small subunit ribosomal RNA", at positions 860 to 1661 of the family's 1831-position model. Lineage: Eukaryota; Metazoa; Nematoda; Chromadorea; Rhabditida; Pratylenchidae. The record is from RNAcentral.